GAAGUAAUCGGGCCUUCGACCUUGCUCAUGUUAGGGCGAGGUUCUCCUCCUGUCCCUGACAUGGCUGUGGGUGCGCUUAUAGGCACUGUAGGGCCUCUCUCCCCAUCCGAUCUAAAGUAACCGGACCUUCGACCUUGCUCAUGUUAGGACGAGGUUCUCCUCCUGUCCCUAACAUGGCUGUGGGGGCACGUAUGGGCGCUGUAGGGCCUCUCCUCCCAUCCAGUCUAAAAGUAAUCGGGCCUUCGACCUUGCUCAUGUUAGGGCGAGGUUCUCCUCCUGUCCCUAACAUGGCUGUGGGGGCGCGUAUGGGCGCUGUAGGGCCUCUCCCCCCAUCUGGUCUAAAAAUA
This 347-nucleotide long non-coding RNA is filed under the name Elaeis guineensis (African oil palm). RNAcentral's name for it is "long non-coding RNA (EGUI_LNC070484)". The record is from RNAcentral. Lineage: Eukaryota; Viridiplantae; Streptophyta; Magnoliopsida; Arecales; Arecaceae.